UACGUAGGGUGCAAGCGUUAAUCGAGAUUACUGGGCGUAAAGCGUGCGCAGGCGGUUUUGUAAGUUUGUCGUGAAAGCCCCGGGCUCAACCUGGGAAUUGCGAUGAAGACUGCAAGGCUUGAAUCUGGCAGAGGGGGGUAGAAUUCCACGUGUAGCAGUGAAAUGCGUAGAGAUGUGGAGGAACACCGAUGGCGAAGGCAGCCCCCUGGGUCAAGAUUGACGCUCAUGCACGAAAGCGUGGGGAGCAAACAGG
Molecule: ribosomal RNA, 253 nt
Filed under: uncultured bacterium
Lineage: Bacteria
Description: partial 16S ribosomal RNA
Rfam family: Bacterial small subunit ribosomal RNA
Source: RNAcentral